CAGCUCCAAUAGCGUAUAUUAAAAUUGUUGCAGUUAAAAAGCUCGUAGUUGAAUUUCUGCUGCAUUGCCGUUGCUCCCUUACGAGCUCUGGCAUUGUGGCUUAUUUCGGAUUUGCUUGCAUUUCCGGAUGUUUACUUUGAGAAAAUUAGAGUGCUCAAAGCAGGCUUUUGCCUUGAAUAGUUUAGCAUGGAAUAAUAAAGUAGGACUUUGGUUCUAUUUUGUUGGUUUUAGGUACCAAAGUAAUGGUUAAUAGGAACAGUUGGGGGCAUUCGUAUUUAACUGUCAGAGGUGAAAUUCUUAGAUUUGUUAAAGACGAACUACUGCGAAAGCAUUUGCCAAGGAUGUUUUCAUUAAUCAAGAACGAAAGUUAGGGGAUCGAAGAUGAU
This 386-nucleotide ribosomal RNA is filed under the name Theileria sp. RNAcentral's name for it is "SSU rRNA". It matches the Rfam family "Eukaryotic small subunit ribosomal RNA", at positions 586 to 1008 of the family's 1831-position model. The record is from RNAcentral. Lineage: Eukaryota; Apicomplexa; Aconoidasida; Piroplasmida; Theileriidae.